GACGAACGCUGGCGGCGUGCUUAACACAUGCAAGUCGAACGGAAAGGCCCUGCUUUUGUGGGGUGCUCGAGUGGCGAACGGGUGAGUAACACGUGAGUAACCUGCCCUUGACUUUGGGAUAACUUCAGGAAACUGGGGCUAAUACCGGAUAGGAGCUCCUGCUGCAUGGUGGGGGUUGGAAAGUUUCGGCGGUUGGGGAUGGACUCGCGGCUUAUCAGCUUGUUGGUGGGGUAGUUGCUUACCAAGGCUUUGACGGGUAGCCGGCCUGAGAGGGUGACCGGCGACAUUGGGACUGAGAUACGGCCCAGACUGGUACGGGAGGCAGCAGGGGGGAAUAUGGCACAAUGGGCGGAAGCCUGAGGCAGCAACGCCGCGGGCGGGAUGACGGCCUUCGGGUUGUAAACCGAUGUAGCCUGUGACGAAGCGGGAGUGACGGUAAUGGGUAAAGAAGCACCGGCUAACUACGUG
Molecule: ribosomal RNA, 468 nt
Filed under: uncultured bacterium
Lineage: Bacteria
Description: partial 16S ribosomal RNA
Rfam family: Bacterial small subunit ribosomal RNA
Source: RNAcentral